UAACUUGUUGAAUUUCCGAAU
Molecule: non-coding RNA, 21 nt
Filed under: Caenorhabditis elegans
Lineage: Eukaryota; Metazoa; Nematoda; Chromadorea; Rhabditida; Rhabditidae
Source: RNAcentral